Molecule: long non-coding RNA, 3811 nt
Organism: Anolis carolinensis (green anole)
Lineage: Eukaryota; Metazoa; Chordata; Lepidosauria; Squamata; Anolidae
Exons: 2
Source: RefSeq, a predicted model, not a curated record
UUUUCUGCACAACAAAAAUAAAAACAAAAAUAAAAACGAGGGUGCCUUUUAUAGCCUUUGGGCAAUAAAACGGUUAAACAUAUUCAUAUACGAAUGAUGACUUAUGAACAAAAAUUAUACAAAAACUUAUAGCUAUACUUACACUGUAAAAGCAGGACAUCACAGCAACAAACAAAUUACAUUUUGCACUAAAAGUCAUACAAGUAAUGUAAAGAGAAUGUUGAGUACAAAGCAAGCAAAGACAGGCAAUAGAAAAGGAGAUAAUAACAGAAGAAAAAUAUUUUUGUAGCAUGUUACAACCUAUUAUCCUCAGAUAUGUAAUUUAUCAUUAAUCUUAUUGGUUACAGUCACUGUUUCUAUUUAGGGAACCCUAAUGUGUUCCUGAUAUUAUCAGCACUGUAAAUUAACAUAUAUGUGUACUAACUGUCAGUAUGUGCACAAAGAUCUAAGCCAUGCUUAAAUAGAUCAUGUAUCACAGUAAUAAUUGAAUUCAAAAGGAAACAUUUUGCAUGGAGAAAACCUAAUAAUGAACCAGCACUUACAAUUAUUUUCAAAAUAGAUUCUGUAGGACUGCUGGGGCAAACUUCAAAUCUAGGAGCUAAUGCAAGGUUGUUUUUGUUUCUUGGCAACGAAUGCACACUCAAGAUGCAGUGAUAGUUAGCUAGAAAAAAUUGCAGGUGAUGAAUGAAUCACAUUUGGGAUCAGUUCUAUGAACAAGUAUAUCUAUAAGGAAUGGAUCCUCACUUUAACUUGGCUUGGAAGAAUCAGUAAUUGUUUUUUUCUGAGCACUUUUGAAAUUAAGGUUGCAAAUAGGAAACCCUUGUCUGGAUGUAAUAGCCAUUUUAAAUUGAUAAACUAUGGUUUAGUAUUCUCAUUAAUAAAGCAAGAUUGAACCAGUUUCUCUAUAAGGAGGUAACAUGAACCUGUGGUUCAAACAAUUACCUAAUGAAGCAUAGAAGGAAGGCCAUGACGAGAAGGAAUGUGUAGACAUACAAUCUUUCUUGGCCUUUAAAUUCAUGGUUUGAUAGUUUGAAGUAGUUGUAUAUGAACUGAAUCAACAUUUGUGAAUAUAUAUUUUUUAAAAACCCAAUAUCUAUAAGAGCCAGUAUGGUGUAGGGGUUUGAGUGUUGGAUUAGGAUACUGGGAGACUAGUUUGAAUCCCUGCUUGGCCAUGGAAAACCACUGGGUGCCCUUCAGCAAAUCACACUAUCUCAGUGGUUCUCAACCAGUGGCCUUCAACUCCCAGAAAUCCUAACAGCUGGUAAACUUGCUGAGAUUUUGGGGAAUUGUAGACCAAAACACCUGGGGACCCACAGGUUGAGAACCACUGCAUUAUCACAACCUCGGAGGAAGGUAAGGGCACCAAUAAAUUCUGCCAGGUAAGCCCUGUGAUAUGGGUUGUCAUAAGUAAGAAACAACUUUAGGGCACCAAACAAGUGUCUAUUUUUGGUUUGGUCACAUUGUCUAUACGGAUUUACAGUUAAAACCAUCAAAACAACUUACACGUGUAUUUUAAAAUGGUGACUUACAAAAUGAAUGACUAUCUUUGUUAAUAUAACAUCACUGAAAUAUUUUCCUUAAUGUUUAUUACUGUUACAUAUCUCCUUUUUGCUUUUUUAAAGGGCUAACAUAAAUUUAAUAAAACUUGAAACAUUAUGUAAAAAAUAAAAUCAAAACACAGCUUUGUAUGAAUGAAAUGACUAUCUGGAUGAGGUUCAUUUACAUUCACUUGGCACCUUUCAUCUUCACAGGAUUUCAAAGCAUUUUACAUGCCCUGCAGAAUACAAACUCAUUACCUUCAAGGUGCAGUUUCCUUAAGGAUUGUUGGCAACUGUUUUCAGCCAACAAAUCGUACAAUGUUUAGAAUGGAUUUGGAAAAAUGAAGAGAUGUUUAAAGUUUCAAAUCCUUCUAAAUAAACUUGGCACAGACUUAACCACUCAUCCCUUUUAAAAUAUUAAAAUAUGGUCAUUCAGUACCCAGGAGGUGAAGAGCCUCUGGGUGUUAAAGUGUUUUGCAGGAGCUUUAAUAUCCUCAGAGCAGAAAGGACCUUUUGAGAUGCACAUCCAGGAUACUGUUUGUCAAUGCUGUACCAAUACACUGGUUAAGACUGAGUCGAGGGAAAGAAUACCCCCUACUGAGCCACCAACACCACUUACUGACACAACUGAUGCUCUUUGAAGGCCACUCAUCCUAAGUAAUGAGCAGGUGAGAGACCCUGCUUAGCUUCUGACAAAUAACAACCUGGAGUACAAUAAGCAGAGCUACAGAAAAGAUACAGUCAAAUAAAAGGAUACAUUAGUUAUUAUAUAUAUAUUUACCAUGACACAGACUAAUAGGUAUUGAUGUAAGGUCCAAUCUAUAACACUGCACAAUGUUCCCUUUGUCCCAAUAAAUAGGACACAUGGAGCUUCCAACAGUGUACUCUUUACUACAGUGAUACCUUGAGAAGGUACACUACAGAUCUUUAAGGAGGGACCUGCAGUGUUGUGCACUUUAUGGGCUUCUCUACAUCUUGACACAUGACAUUUGUUUGCAAUGUAUUUCUUUGGGAUGUAAAUAGAUUACAAAACGUGCCUAUUACCCUGAUAUUUUACAGAAAAUCUGGACUUUUAGGUGUGUGUCUGUUCCUCCAGGUGACACUGAUGGGAGGAGUUAGUGGUGGGCAGAAUUGGUUGGUGGGAGGUGAUCAUUUCUGCGAGAUUAAUUUUAAAAACUUUUUUUAAAAGCUUUGUUUUUGCAGAUACUCACAUAUCAGUAUAUUAGCACCAGUGCACUUCUGUUUGGUAAAAACUAUGUUUAGUGGCAUGCAUGAAAGGGGAACAAAAGUUGAGAGUCUAUUGACAUGUGGAUGAAAAUAACGCAAAGGACUGGAAGUACAAAUUGUCCCCCACAAGCGAGGUGGAAUCAAGGCCUUCACAACUUCACAGUAAUUGUUAUUACUGUGUAUUCCAAUGCUGGUGACAUAUGCUUCUGUGCACAAUGAAAAAUCCUAUCUCAGAGUAACAUUAACGGAAAAGAACAGGAGGAAGAUUGAAUAUGUGUAAUUCAAUAUCUCUGUCGCCAAUCCAGGGGGAGAACUUUCCCAGUUUCUAUAUUGUGGAGUCCCACCAGGUAAAAUGAAUAAUGGAACAGAUGAAACAAACACAAAACAUUUGGAUUAGAUGCAGACCAUGACUGCAUUGCUAUGGGGUUCGGAAGAGUGAAAAAGACACUAUAACUUUGUUUAACAAAAGUAAGGAUUCAUACAUGUUCCUCAGAACUGGCAGGCAAUAAAUAUGAAACCUGAAACAGCAAUUCAACCAAAAUAGAGCAGUCAGCAAAAUGAAAUACAUUCAUUGCAUCACCUUAAAAAGUUUUAAAUGCUAAUGUCUCACAAUAGUUAUGCAGCCCUGGGGAUUGAGUAUGAGCUAAUAAACCAGGAGCAGCCCAGAACAUUGUGCAUUGCUCCUCUACAUCGUGCAGAAAAUAGUUAUCCUUCCAAGCCUAUUAAUUAAAAUCUCCAUUACCUCUCUGAACUACUUUCUUUGGCACCUUCUUGUAAUGUUCUAAUAUAUUUUAAAGAACACAUCGCUUCUCUUUGUCUUUCAAGUCAUCUAUUGAUAUGCUGAGAUAUUGGGUCAGACUGACAUUAGGAACAACUGCCUUGGAAUGACUUAUUUUAGAUUAGGUCUAUUAAAUUAAACACAUCCUUGGGGUGGGGUGGAGUCGCGGCAUGAUUGGAAUCAAUACAUUAUUAGUACAUGUGGUAUGCAGCUAAACUAGCAAAUUCCUUUUUCAGAAACUGAUCAAAUAAAAAGUAUAAACAUCUAA